CCUACGUGAGGCAGCAGUGAGGAAUAUUGGUCAAUGGCCGUAAGGCUGAACCAGCCAAGUCGCGUGAAGGAAGACGGAUCUAUGGGUUGUAAACUUCUUUUAUAAAGGAAUAAAGGUAGCCACGUGUGCCUAUUUGCAUGUACUUUAUGAAUAAGCAUCGGCUAACUCCGUGCCAGCAGCCGCGGUAAUACGGAGGAUGCGAGCGUUAUCCGGUUUUAUUGGGUUAAAAGGGUGCGUAGGCGGAUUUUUAAGUCAGCGGUAAAAUGUUGGGGCUCAACCCAGAAUGGCCGUGGAAACUGGGGAUCUUGAGUGUGUGAGAGGUAUGCGGAAUGCGUGGUGUAGCGGUGAAAUGCAUAGAUAUCACGCAGAACUCCGAUUGCGAAGGCAGCUUAC
RNAcentral lists this ribosomal RNA (393 nucleotides) under uncultured bacterium. RNAcentral describes it as "partial 16S ribosomal RNA". It matches the Rfam family "Bacterial small subunit ribosomal RNA", at positions 338 to 729 of the family's 1533-position model. The record is from RNAcentral.